This 76-nucleotide transfer RNA is filed under the name Shewanella sp. Its description in RNAcentral is "tRNA-Gly". It matches the Rfam family "tRNA". From Rfam's summary of the family: Transfer RNA (tRNA) molecules are approximately 80 nucleotides in length. Their secondary structure includes four short double-helical elements and three loops (D, anti-codon, and T loops). Further hydrogen bonds mediate the characteristic L-shaped molecular structure. tRNAs have two regions of fundamental functional importance: the anti-codon, which is responsible for specific mRNA codon recognition, and the 3' end, to which the tRNAs corresponding amino acid is attached (by aminoacyl-tRNA synthetases). tRNAs cope with the degeneracy of the genetic code in two manners: having more than one tRNA (with a specific anti-codon) for a particular amino acid; and 'wobble' base-pairing, i.e. permitting non-standard base-pairing at the 3rd anti-codon position. The record is from RNAcentral. RNAcentral also lists the same sequence under 2 other names. Lineage: Bacteria; Pseudomonadati; Pseudomonadota; Gammaproteobacteria; Alteromonadales; Shewanellaceae.
GCGGCAUUAGCUCAGUUGGUAGAGCGAUACCUUGCCAAGGUAUAGGUCAUCGGUUCGAACCCGAUAUGCCGCUCCA